CUUUACAGCACGUUUGGUAACGUAUAUAAGCUGCAUAUUUAGUAAAACAUGGUCAUUAACCCAAAUAUGGCUCUCAAAAACCUUGUAACAGUUUGCUUCUCAAUUCUCCUCAUCAAGAUUGUCACCACCCAUCCACUUCCGCCAUUCUCUUGUGACACCACAAAUCCAUUAACCAAAUCAUUCACAUUUUGCAACACCUCAUUACCAAUAGAUCAACGCGUCGACGACUUGGUGUCACGUCUCACAUUGGAUGAGAAAAUAUCUCAGCUAGCUAAUAAGGCGUACGCCAUCCCUCGCCUCGGGAUCCCGUACUACCAAUGGUGGUCGGAGGCUUUGCACGGUGUUGCCGCUGCUUAUCGAGUCCAAAAUGGGAUCAUGUUCAACGGGACUAUUCGAGCAGCCACCAGUUUUCCUCAAGUAAUUCUUACUGCCGCUACAUUUGAUGACGUUUUGUGGUAUCGUAUAGCUAAGGUAAUUAGUACAGAAGCAAGGGCAAUAUACAAUGAAGGAGAAGCAAUAGGAAUGACAUUUUUUGCCCCCAACAUAAAUAUUUUUAGGGACCCUAGGUGGGGUAGAGGGCAAGAAACCCCUGGAGAAGACCCUUUGGUUACUGGAGUAUAUGCAAGGUCGUUUGUUAGAGGACUUCAAGGGGAUAUUUAUGAAGGUGGUAACCUCGAAUAUCAGUACCUUAAAGUUUCUGCAUGCUGUAAGCAUUUGGCUGCAUAUGAUUUGGAAAAAUGGAAUGGAAGUGUUCGUUUCACCUUCGAUGCUCAUGUAAGCCACUUGCUCAACUGGUACCAUGUUUAGUUGUGUUAAAAGUUACUUUUUAAGCAAAGUCGAUAACGUCCUUAAUAGGAUACAUUACUCAUUUGUAUAUUUCUUUGUGUUUGGCGAGGUUGAAUAGGUGACGAAGCAAGAUAUGGCAGAUAUGUACCAGCCACCCUUCAGAAGCUGUGUCCAGGACGGUCAAGCAAGCGGGAUAAUGUGUGGUUACAAUCUCGUUAAUGGCGUCCGGAGCUGUGCUGAUUACGAUCUCUUAACGAAAACUGCUAGAGGAGAAUGGGGUUUCAAGGGGUAAACUUUUUAUUAUUCAAUAGUUUAUUGAGAAGAAAUUUGGCCUUUCUUGGUGUUUCUAACUUAAUUGAGAAUGAUCAGGUACAUAACAUCAGAUUAUGACGUACCGCGAUUUAUAUAUGAGACACAAACGUUCUUAAAAUUACCUGAAGACGUUGUAGCUGAUGUUCUUAAAGCCGGUACGAUGGAUUGGUUUUGAGUAUCUUGCUAUUAUUCGAUAACUUGUCCAACAAUAUUUUUUCCAAAAGAAUGAAAAUUUUUAAUUUACAGGAAUGGAUCUUGAUUGUGGAACGUUUUUCGUUAAGAACAAUACAAAAUCAGCAAUUGAGACAGGAAAAGUAUCUGAAUCUGAUGUAGACAGAGCCAUUCACAACCUCUUUUCUGUUAGAAUGAGAUUAGGUCUCUUCAAUGGCGAUCCAAGGAAACAAACUUGGGGUGAAAUAGGACGAGAUCAAAUUUGUUCGAAGGAGCACCAGGAUUUGGCACUUAAAGCUGCUCGGAGUGGGAUCGUCCUUCUUAAGAACACGGCCAAGCACCUUCCUUUUUCAAAGGCCAAAACGAAGUCUCUAGCAAUAAUAGGCCCCAAUGCCAAUAAUUCGAAAACACUUAUCGGAAAUUAUGCAGGCCCCCCUUGCGAAACCAUUACUCCCCUAGAAGGGCUUUCAAGUUUUGUCAAGAACAUUAAGUUCCAUCAGGGCUGCCUAUAUACAAAUUGCACUUCCAUUUCCACCGACGAAGUUGUGACAAUCGCGAAAUCUGUAGAUCAUGUGGUGUUGGUAAUGGGACUCAGUCAAGAUCAAGAAAGGGAAAAUGUUGAUCGUGAUGAACUUGUGCUCCCCGGUGAGCAAAUGAGUCUUAUAACAAGCGUAGCCAAGGCGGCUAAAAAGCCAGUUGUACUAGUACUACUUUGUGGAGGUCCGGUUGACAUUUCUUUCGCCAAGAACGAUCCAAAAAUUGGAAGUAUUUUGUGGGCAGGAUAUCCCGGAGGAGCAGGAGGCCAAGCAAUUGCAGAUAUUAUAUUCGGUCAAUAUAAUCCAGGUGGAAUUUAUUGGCAAAACUUUAGUCAUUCCCUUCAAGUUAAAACCAAAGCCACUAACAAGAUUUUAGUUAACAUGCAAUUCGUACUCUUUUUUUUUUUCCCCUUGCAGGAGGGCGAUUGCCUAUGACUUGGUAUCCAAAAGAUUUCGUCGAAAUACCAAUGACAGAUAUGAGGUUGCGGUCUGAUCCAGCCUCGGGCUAUCCAGGGCGAACUUACAGAUUCUAUAACGGGGAAAAGGUAUACGAAUUUGGACAUGGACUUAGCUACACAAGGUAUAGUUACAAGUUUGUGAAUGCCAUCCCAAACAAACUCGAUUUCAAGAAUCUGUCGACUACAGUCAAGGCCAAAAACUCGGGUUACAUUCCAGUCUCUGAUAUAGGUACAGAAUCAUGUGCCAAGUCAUUGUUUUCUGUCGUCGUUAGAGUGAAAAAUCAUGGGAAGAUGUGGGGUAGUCAUCCGGUUUUGCUGUUUUUAAAGCGAGAAAAGGCCAAUAAUGGGAGUCCAUUGAAACAAUUGCUAGGAUUUAAUACAGUGCAGUUGGAUCCAAAAGCAAAAGUUGAAGUUGAAUAUCCAUUGAAUCCAUGUGGGGAUUUCAGCAGAGCUGAUGAAAAUGGAGAAAUGGUGAUUGAUGAAGGGACUCAUUACUUAACAGUGGGAGAUGAAGAACAUUCUAUUAUCAUUAAUAUUUGAUAGAAAACCAGCAAAUCUCUUGCUUCUUGGUUUAUUUCAAAGGUGCAAUAAAAGGAAUUAUGUUGUGUUAAGACCAUGGAUUCACUGCAUCUAAUUAUUUAUAUUUUCAACACCCUUGUCUGAAAUUUCAUGGAAACGAUACACAAAAUUGCAUUUUCAAAUGAAUGCGUUUUUGUACAAAUGGAUUCUUGAACAAACUUGUACAAUUACAAGGUCCGAACACAAUGAUCAAG
RNAcentral lists this long non-coding RNA (3036 nucleotides) under Olea europaea subsp. europaea. Lineage: Eukaryota; Viridiplantae; Streptophyta; Magnoliopsida; Lamiales; Oleaceae. The record is from RNAcentral.